RNAcentral lists this ribosomal RNA (322 nucleotides) under uncultured Prevotella sp. RNAcentral describes it as "partial 16S ribosomal RNA". The record is from RNAcentral. Lineage: Bacteria; Pseudomonadati; Bacteroidota; Bacteroidia; Bacteroidales; Prevotellaceae.
GGAGUUUGGACCGUGUCUCAGUUCCAAUGUGGGGGACCUUCCUCUCAGAACCCCUACUGAUCGCAGGCUUGGUGGGCCGUUACCCCGCCAACAACCUAAUCAGACGCAUCCCCAUCCUAUAGCGGUAAACCUUUGGUAUUCGUCAGAUGUCCUCAAAAUACAACAUAGGGUAUUAAUCCGCAUUUCUACGGGACUAUCCCUCUACUAAGGGGAAGGUUGGAUACGCGUUACUCACCCGUGCGCCGGUCGCCAGCAACAAUAGCAAGCUAUCGUCCUGCUGCCCCUCGACUUGCAUGUGUUAAGCCUGUAGCUAGCGUUCAUC